Molecule: ribosomal RNA, 156 nt
Filed under: leaf litter ascomycete strain its062
Lineage: Eukaryota; Fungi; Ascomycota
Also listed under: 1 other name
Description: 5.8S ribosomal RNA
Rfam family: 5.8S ribosomal RNA
About the family: 5.8S ribosomal RNA (5.8S rRNA) is a component of the large subunit of the eukaryotic ribosome.
Source: RNAcentral
CAACUUUCAACAAUGGAUCUCUUGGUUCUGGCAUCGAUGAAGAACGCAGCGAAAUGCGAUAAGUAGUGUGAAUUGCAGAAUUCAGUGAAUCAUCGAAUCUUUGAACGCACAUUGCGCCCCUUGGUAUUCCAUGGGGCAUGCCUGUUCGAGCGUCAU